CGGGACGGGUGAGUAAUGCUGGGAAACUGCCUGAUGGAGGGGGAUAACUACUGGAAACGGUAGCUAAUACCGCAUAACGUCGCAAGACCAAAGAGGGGGACCUUCGGGCCUCUUGCCAUCGGAUGUGCCCAGAUGGGAUUAGCUAGUAGGUGGGGUAACGGCUCACCUAGGCGACGAUCCCUAGCUGGUCUGAGAGGAUGACCAGCCACACUGGAACUGAGACACGGUCCAG
Molecule: ribosomal RNA, 232 nt
Filed under: uncultured bacterium
Lineage: Bacteria
Description: partial 16S ribosomal RNA
Rfam family: Bacterial small subunit ribosomal RNA
Source: RNAcentral